GACGAACGCUGGCGGCGUGCUUAACACAUGCAAGUCGUACGGUAAGGCCCUUUCGGGGGUCCACGAGUGGUGAACGGGUGAGUAACACGUGAGUAACCUGCCCACAACUUUGGGAUAACGCUAGGAAACUGGUGCUAAUACUGGAUAUGUGCUCCUGCUGCAUGGUGGGGGUUGGAAAGCUCCGGCGGUUGUGGAUGGACUCGCGGCCUAUCAGCUUGUUGGUGGGGUAGUGGCCUACCAAGGCGGCGACGGGUAGCCGGCCUGAGAGGGUGACCGGCCACAUUGGGACUGAGAUACGGCCCAGACUCCUACGGGAGGCAGCAGUGGGGAAUAUUGCACAAUGGGCGCAAGCCUGAUGCAGCAACGCCGCGUGCGGGAUGACGGCCUUCGGGUUGUAAACCGCUUUCAGCAGGGACGAAGCUUUUUGUGACGGUACCUGCAGAAGAAGCACCGGCUAACUACGUG
RNAcentral lists this ribosomal RNA (465 nucleotides) under uncultured bacterium. RNAcentral's name for it is "partial 16S ribosomal RNA". It matches the Rfam family "Bacterial small subunit ribosomal RNA", at positions 28 to 507 of the family's 1533-position model. The record is from RNAcentral.